UAAGAAAGAAAAGGGAAAAGGAUGCCGCGCCGGAAGCCGCGGCGAGGAUUCCUUAUGAUGCUUGUGCGCGUCCCCGAGGCCCAUCGGUCCUUCAUCCAAGAACCGAUAAACGCGGUGACCGACGCCUUCACGGCAUUAAUGAUUAAUUUUAUAAUCCAGUCUGGUAGUUUUAAGAAGCGAGUUCUUGCAUCCGCCCUAUUCGAAUCGGCGGGGCGGUGGAGCGCCAGUGAGCCCAAGGUCUCCCAGGCGAGCAUGGCAGGACUGGAGGGCUCCCGGCAGGGCGCCUCGGCGUCCAUCGGGACCCCGACGGAGGUGCCGGAGAUCUUUCGGCUACAACGCCGGGCAGGUGGGGCUCGUUAGCCGUGGUAGGCAAUCUGCCUAGGAGAGCAAACUCCGAACAACAAACCCGGGCAGGUGAGGUUCGUUAGCCGUGGUAGGCAAUUCACCUAGGAGAGCAAACUCCGAACAACAAACCCGGGCAGGUGAGGUUCGUUAGCCGUGGUAGGCAAUUCACCUAGGAGAGCAAACUCCGAACAAUAAACCCGGGCAGGUUGGGCUCGUGAGCCGUCAUAGGUAAUACACCUAGGAGAGCAAACUCCGAACAAUAAACCCGGGCAGGAUGGGCUCGUGAGCCGUCAUAGGUAAUACACCUAGGAGAGCAAACUCCGAUCAUAAAACCCGGGCAGGUUGGGCUCGUGAGCCGUCAUAGGUAAUACACCUAGGAGAGCAAACUCCGAACAAUAAACCCGGGCAGGUGGAGCUCGUCAGCCGUGGUAGGCAGUCUGCCUAGGAGAGCAAACUCCGAACAAUAAACCCGGGCAGGUGGAGCUCGUCAGCCGUGGUAGGCAGUCUGCCUAGGAGAGCAAACUCCGAACAAUAAACCGGGGCUUGUGGUCCUCGUUAGAUGUCGUAGACAAUCCACGUGAUGGGAACACCAUAGAAAAGGAAAAUAAAAAGGAACACCAGAAAAAGGAAAAUAUAGUUACAAAACAUCAAGAAAAGAAAAGAAAAAACACAGAUCAUCCACCUUCAGGCCCUAACAUCUCCAAAAUUAUGGAUGAGUCUUUUCUGGGGAGAAAGAGGCUCAUCCAGACCAAAGAACAUCAAAAAGGGAUGAUAUAGAAAAGAACACCAAAAAAAUGGGAAAAAGAGAAAAAACAUCGCAAAAGAAAAGUAACAGCAAUAACAGAACAACAUCAAGAAAAGUAACAUACAAAGAAACAUCAUCCACCAUUCGGCCCCAAACUAACAUCACCAAAAUUAUGGGUGGGUCUCUUCUGGGGAGAAAGCGGCUCAUCCAGACCAACUAAGAACAUCAACAAGAGGAUGAUAUGAAAUACAAGAACAUUAAAAACACGAAGAAAAGAAAUAAGAAGAAAAAGAACAGGAAAAAACAUCGGAAAAGAAAAACAAGAAGAAAAACACAUCAAGAGAAGAAAAAUAUAAGAAACAUCAUCCACCUUUCGGCCCCUAACUAACAUCACCAAAAUUAUGGGUGGGUCUCUUCUGGGAGGAAAGCGGCUCACCCAGACCAAUGAACAUCAACAAGAGGAUGAUAUGAAAUAAAAGAACAUCAAAAAAGAAAAACAACAGCAAGAAAACAAAGAAAAAGAUAAAGAAAAGAAAAGGAAAAAGAAACAAAAAGAAAAAGAAAAACACCAAAAUAAAAUAAAACAAAAACAAAAAAAUAAUCCAAAUAAAUAAAUAAAUAAACAAAUACAGAA
This is a long non-coding RNA of Eriocheir sinensis (Chinese mitten crab), 1724 nucleotides long. RefSeq lists it as uncharacterized. NCBI's taxonomy places the organism in Eukaryota, Metazoa, Arthropoda, Malacostraca, Decapoda, Varunidae. The transcript has 2 exons. The record is from RefSeq and is a predicted model, not a curated record.